UCUUCUAAGUCAGUGUUUUUACCUUCAGGUCCUCCCUAGAGACCCAUCCAGCUCUUUAGUCUCAUUGUCUUCUCAAAAUAUGCCUCUUCACCAGCUAUAUUAUUUAUUCACACUUUAUAGAUGAAAAUGUCCCAGAAAGCCUAAGCAACUUGCAAAAGUUCUUUUACGAUAGAAAGUGACAGAGUCAAAAUUUAACCAACUUGUCUUUAAAGCUUGUUUUAUUUACAUUUAAUAUUCCAUAGCACAUAUAGCAUCAUGUUCUCUGUCAUUAUUCAGUAGACUUCCCUCAGGCAUAAAUUAUAUCUUGUUUAUUUUUGCAUUCUAAAGUCUAACAAAGUGUUUAACACAUAGAAGAUGUCCUCUAAAGGUUUUUAUAAUAAAUGAUCAUAAUAAUACCAGGCCUAUUUUUAUGUCUGUAGUGAAAGAGUAUGAUUGUAAAAUGUAAAGUACCAAUUUAUGCUUUUUAUUUCCCAUUCAUUGCUAACAUUAUUUUGUUCCACCUGUUUUGUGCAGCCUAUUCCAGUGACACAUCACUUCUUUUUCUUUCUAGAAUAAAAUAAAACAGUCUGGGACAUUGGCUGCUCUAAAUUACAGAAGUAGGAAAAGGCAGGCUGUGGGAACAAUGGAGAUAUAUCAAUUUCAGCUUGGACAAACUGAGAGAAAAUUAAAAAGAUGGAGUCUCACUCUGUUGCCUAGACUGGAGUCAGUGGCACGAUCUCAGCUCA
Non-coding RNA from Macaca mulatta (Rhesus monkey), 725 nucleotides. The record is from RefSeq and is a predicted model, not a curated record. NCBI's taxonomy places the organism in Eukaryota, Metazoa, Chordata, Mammalia, Primates, Cercopithecidae.